This 392-nucleotide unclassified non-coding RNA is filed under the name fungal sp. RNAcentral describes it as "partial internal transcribed spacer region". The stretch from base 1 to 46 matches the Rfam family "Eukaryotic small subunit ribosomal RNA", at positions 1786 to 1831 of the family's 1831-position model. The record is from RNAcentral. Lineage: Eukaryota; Fungi.
AAGUCGUAACAAGGUUUCCGUAGGUGAACCUGCGGAAGGAUCAUUAACACGUAUCCAAACGUUAAAACCCCCCCCGUGAACCUUCAUCCUGCUCUUGUAACCCGCGUAGUUCGCAAUCUCUGAUAAAUCAUAGCCCGGAAAGUUGUAGUGAUUCAGAGACCUCUGGCUACGUGCGAACAUUGGAACAGUUACAAUCGAGCGGUAGUUCUAUAGGCAAUGUUUCCCCAAGCAGUCAGUGUCGGAAAGUGUCAUUGAUUGUGCAAGGAUAGCGCUUCGAGCAGGAGCUUUGCCAAAGGGUCCCCAUGAUCCCUACACGUGCCGAUUUCUAUUAAAAGCUCCAUUUUCAAUUAGGUAAAACCGAACAACUGUUAACAAUGGAGAUCUUGGUUCUC